This 700-nucleotide ribosomal RNA is filed under the name uncultured beta proteobacterium. Its description in RNAcentral is "bacterial SSU rRNA". It matches the Rfam family "Bacterial small subunit ribosomal RNA", at positions 94 to 790 of the family's 1533-position model. Lineage: Bacteria; Pseudomonadati; Pseudomonadota; Betaproteobacteria. The record is from RNAcentral.
AGUGGCGAACGGGUGAGUAACAUAUCGGAACGUAUCCAAUAAUGGGGGAUAACGAGUCGAAAGAUUCGCUAAUACCGCAUACGCCCUACGGGGGAAAGCUGGGGAUCGCAAGACCUGGCGUUAAUGGAGCGGCCGAUAUCUGAUUAGCUAGUUGGUGAGGUAAAGGCUCACCAAGGCGACGAUCAGUAGCUGGUCUGAGAGGACGACCAGCCACACUGGAACUGAGACACGGUCCAGACUCCUACGGGAGGCAGCAGUGGGGAAUUUUGGACAAUGGGCGCAAGCCUGAUCCAGCCAUUCCGCGUGAGUGAAGAAGGCCUUCGGGUCGUAAAGCUCUUUCGCAAGGGAAGAAAACUUACCCUCUAACAUAGGGCGAGGUUGACGGUACCUUGAUAAGAAGCACCGGCUAACUACGUGCCAGCAGCCGCGGUAAUACGUAGGGUGCGAGCGUUAAUCGGAAUUACUGGGCGUAAAGCGUGCGCAGGCGGUUUUGAAAGUCAGAUGUGAAAUCCCCGAGCUCAACUUGGGAACUGCGUUUGAAACUCCAAAACUCGAAUAUGUCAGAGGGGGGUAGAAUUCCACGUGUAGCAGUGAAAUGCGUAGAGAUGUGGAGGAAUACCAUUGGCGGAGGCAGCCCCCUGGGAUAAUAUUGACGCUCAUGCACGAAAGCGUGGGGAGCAAACAGGAUUAGAUACCCUGG